AAGAAAAAAUAUAUUUAUACUUACAGUGUAUGGGAUAUACUUCUAUAUUGGAAAUAAAACAGAAAAAAAAAUCCUUACAUUCGUAUGAUUUUUAAAUCGAAGGCUAGGUCAGAUUGCUUUUCAUGCUUGUUUUAUAAGCGAACACGUUCUGUGGAAUAUUACUUGCGAGAGAGUAUUGCGCUUUGCUUUGAUGUAUGUCAUUAUGUGCUCAAUAAGGGGUUGGCACCCGACUGCCUGUGGGCCGUAUACAGCACAAGCAUCCGAACCGGCCAGCCAAAUGUACUCAAUUUUAUUUGUGUCAAGGAGCUGCAAUCAUUUGGAUUUAGAUGUUUUUUUUAAAAGUAGAUAUACAGUAUAGUCUAUGUAAAAAAUGAAUCUGGAUUUAGAUGAUGUUGUCGUGCAACCACUUGAUGAAACAAAAUGGAAUAAAUUCAGCAAACCUUUUUUUUUCAGUGCAUGCAAUUCUAAAAGUACUGUACUGAUCCAGAACAUGUAACCCUUUCGUAUGGCCCUCGGAGGACUUUUAAUGGUUGGAAAAAAGGCGUCGCAAGUGCUGCAUUAGAUGAUUAAAACAUAUCAGUGAACCAAGUGCCUCGCAGUUGCUCCAAAGUCCCGGAAUCCUUCACAAACGUUGACUGAGAUUCACAAGUCGAUGCAAAGUGUGAAAGCUUCACUUGUGAUAUAUGACCAUUGAAGGCGAUUGUUUGUUCUUAAAAAAAAAAAAAAAAGAAGAAGAAUACCGAGAGAAAUGAAA
Hippocampus zosterae (dwarf seahorse) is the source of this 754-nucleotide long non-coding RNA. RefSeq lists it as uncharacterized. Lineage: Eukaryota; Metazoa; Chordata; Actinopteri; Syngnathiformes; Syngnathidae. The transcript has 2 exons. The record is from RefSeq and is a predicted model, not a curated record.